Molecule: unclassified non-coding RNA, 20 nt
Filed under: Cloning vector pNOV145
Description: gRNA variable region
Source: RNAcentral
GCAGCACGUCGAGGCCGAGC